This is a non-coding RNA of Carica papaya (papaya), 758 nucleotides long. The record is from RefSeq and is a predicted model, not a curated record. NCBI's taxonomy places the organism in Eukaryota, Viridiplantae, Streptophyta, Magnoliopsida, Brassicales, Caricaceae.
UCUUGGUGUUUUGGGAGGUAGGGUUUAUAAAUUCGUCUUUAACCCCAAGGGAUAGAACGCGCCGCUUCCCAGUAAGUCUGCAUGUAGCUGUGGUUUCAUACAAUCUUACAACAGAGAUGGAUGCUGUGAAACCUGUUGCGAAACAGCUAGAGAAAGAAGACGACGACGACGACGACGACGACAACGAAGAUGAAGGAAGCAUCACGCAUCAUGAAGAUGCAGUCCUUCUGUCGAAUCAGUAAUUAACCAAAACCAAAAUAAUCUUGCUUCGUCUCUUGGUUGAGCCUCCUUUUCGGCGAUCUCCACAUUGUAGGUAUCAACUGUAACCUCCGUUGACCACAACCCAGGAAAUACCAACUCCGGAGAAGCCUUGUCGAUUUCCUUAUUCGUUAGUGGUAACAGAACUUCACCCUCUCAUUAUUUUCUGACAGUCCUCCUCUUUCCAUCGUUCUACGCGACUUCAUUACCUCACUCUUCAUCCGCCAAGAAUUCACUCUCCUUUCCUUAAUCCUCAAUCCAUAAUUGUUGUUGCUGCUGCAGUCGACAUUCUGGUGGGUGUUUCCCACUCCACCAAUCGAUGCCUUACACGCUGACCUCCUGGUUCUCAGAUUCCAUGGCCUCACCUCUUCAGCCGCUGCAGGGGAUUCUUCUAUUUCCUUCUUCUUGCCGGCUCUGUCAUCGAGGUAGCGGAGAGGGUUGCCAAAAAGGAGUUGGAUUCUGCUUUUGCAGUCGUUAGACCUCCAAGGCAUCAUGCCAAA